AACGAACGCUGGCGGCAUGCCUAACACAUGCAAGUCGAACGAGACCUUCGGGUCUAGUGGCGCACGGGUGCGUAACGCGUGGGAACCUGCCCUUAGGUUCGGAAUAACUCCCCGAAAGGGGUGCUAAUACCGGAUAAUGUCUUCGGACCAAAGAUUUAUCGCCUUUGGAUGGGCCCGCGUUGGAUUAGCUAGUUGGUAGGGUAAAAGCCUACCAAGGCGACGAUCCAUAGCUGGUCUGAGAGGAUGAUCAGCCACACUGGGACUGAGACACGGCCCAGACUCCUACGGAAGGCAGCAGUGGUGAAUAUUGGACAAUGGGCGAAAGCCUGAUCCAGCAAUGCCGCGUGAGUGAUGAAGGCCUUAGGUUUGUAAAGCUCUUUUACCCGGGAUGAUAAUGACAGUACCGGGAGAAUAAGCUCCGGCUAACUCCGU
RNAcentral lists this ribosomal RNA (432 nucleotides) under uncultured bacterium. RNAcentral describes it as "partial 16S ribosomal RNA". It matches the Rfam family "Bacterial small subunit ribosomal RNA", at positions 29 to 506 of the family's 1533-position model. The record is from RNAcentral.